Molecule: ribosomal RNA, 207 nt
Filed under: uncultured bacterium
Lineage: Bacteria
Description: partial 16S ribosomal RNA
Rfam family: Bacterial small subunit ribosomal RNA
Source: RNAcentral
CGCGUAGGCGGUCUGCUAAGUUGGAUGUGAAAACUCUGGGCUUAACCCAGAGCCUGCAUUCAAUACUGACAGGCUAGAGUUCUGGAGGGGAUAGCGGAAUUCCUGGUGUAGCGGUGAAAUGCGUAGAUAUCAGGAGGAACACCGAUGGCGAAGGCGGCUAUCUGGACAGAGUCUGACGCUGAGGCGCGAAAGCUAGGGGAGCAAACA